CCCGCUGAACUUAAGCAUAUCAAUAAGCGGAGGAAAAGAAACUAACAAGGAUUCCCCUAGUAACUGCGAGUGAAGCGGGAAAAGCUCAAAUUUAAAAUCUGGCAGUUUUCCAGCUGUCCGAGUUGUAAUCUAGAGAAGCAAUAUCCGCGUCAGACCGUGUACAAGUCUUCUGGAAUGGAGCAUCACAGAGGGUGAGAAUCCCGUCUUUGACACGGACUACUGAGGCUUUUGUGAUAUGCUCUCAACGAGUCGAGUUGUUUGGGAAUGCAGCUCUAAAUGGGUGGUAAAUUCCAUCUAAAGCUAAAUAUUGGCAAGAGACCGAUAGUGAACAAGUACCGUGAGGGAAAGAUGAAAAGAACUUUGGAAAGAGAGUUAAACAGUAUGUGAAAUUGUUGAAAGGGAAACGCUUGAAGUCCAGUCACAUUUGUCAGAAAUCAACCUUGUCCUUUUUCACUUGGUGUACUUUCUGAUAAAUGGGUCAGCAUCAAUUUUGAUCAGUGGAAAAAGAUUGAGAGAAUGUAGCAUCUUUGGAUGUGUUAUAGCUUUUGAUUUUAUACAUUGAUUGGGAUUGAGGAAUACAGCAGCAUGCCUUUAUUGGCCAGGUUUUUUUUUAUUAAAAAACCAUGUCUCAUGCUUAGGAUGCU
This 644-nucleotide ribosomal RNA is filed under the name uncultured Basidiomycota. Its description in RNAcentral is "LSU rRNA". It matches the Rfam family "Eukaryotic large subunit ribosomal RNA", at positions 24 to 627 of the family's 3401-position model. Lineage: Eukaryota; Fungi; Basidiomycota. The record is from RNAcentral.